Argiope bruennichi is the source of this 358-nucleotide long non-coding RNA. RefSeq lists it as uncharacterized. Lineage: Eukaryota; Metazoa; Arthropoda; Arachnida; Araneae; Araneidae. The transcript is spliced from 3 exons. The record is from RefSeq and is a predicted model, not a curated record.
GGGAGACCUCGACUGCCUUAGGAUUGAGACAGACUCUUGUUAAUCUGAAUAAGAUGAUUCAAUCUGUCAUCUCAUCUGAUAUUGCUUGGAUACUUGGUUAGUCGAGAAAAUUUGAACAAAAAUGGAGGGAUAUUAGAAGACUUGCUAUGCAAGAAUCGACUAAUGCCACGACGCAAUGGAGGCUGACUUCCGUAAUUAUCUGCUGGUGCUUUACACCUGUACGGGACUUUUACAAAUGAUUGUUGGUUCUUCCAUUACUGAAUGUAUAGAGAUCUACUACAAGGUGCUCCUUGAAUGAGGAAACUGACCAGAUGCAAGUUACUUCAGGAAUCUGUUGUUCCUGUAAACCCAAGAUUCA